Molecule: ribosomal RNA, 465 nt
Filed under: uncultured bacterium
Lineage: Bacteria
Description: bacterial SSU rRNA
Rfam family: Bacterial small subunit ribosomal RNA
Source: RNAcentral
GUACGGGAGGCAGCAGUGAGGAAUCUUGGACAAUGGGCGCAAGCCUGAUCCAGCAAUGCCGCGUGGGUGAAGACGGCCUGCGGGUUGUAAAGCCCUUUUGGCGGGGACGAAAGCCCUGAGGUGAACAGCGUCAGGGGGUGACGGUACCCGUCGAAGAAGCACCGGCCAACUCCGCGCCAGCAGCCGCGGUAAUACGGAGGGUGCGAGCGUUAAUCGGAAUUACUGGGCGUAAAGCGCACGUAGGCGGUCGUUCUAGUCCGUUGUGAAAGCCCCGGGCUCAACCUGGGAAUGGCAAGGGAAACGGAACGACUGGAGUGGACCAGAGGACCGUGGAAUUCCCGGUGUAGCGGUGAAAUGCGUAGAGAUCGGGAAGAACACCGAUGGCGAAGGCAGCGGUCUGGGGUCACACUGACGCUGAGGGGCGACAGCGUGGGGAGCAAACAGGAUUAGAUACCCUGGUAGUCU